Molecule: ribosomal RNA, 305 nt
Filed under: uncultured bacterium
Lineage: Bacteria
Description: bacterial SSU rRNA
Rfam family: Bacterial small subunit ribosomal RNA
Source: RNAcentral
UCCUACGGGGCGCAGCAGUGAGGAAUAUUGGUCAAUGGGCGAGAGCCUGAACCAGCCAAGUCGCGUGAAGGAUGACGGCCCUACGGGCUGUAAACUUCUUUUGUCAGGGAGCAAUUGGGUCCACGUGUGGGCUUAGCGAGAGUACCUGAAGAAAAAGCAUCGGCUAACUCCGUGCCAGCCGCCGCGGUAAUACGGAGGAUGCGAGCGUUAUCCGGAUUUAUUGGGUUUAAGGGGUGCGUAGGCGGAAUAUCAACUCAGCGGUAAAAAUUCGGGGCUCAACCCCGCCGUGCCGUUGAAACUGAUGU